RNAcentral lists this transfer-messenger RNA (361 nucleotides) under Campylobacter lari subsp. concheus LMG 11760. RNAcentral's name for it is "10Sa RNA". It matches the Rfam family "transfer-messenger RNA". Rfam says of the family: Bacterial tmRNA, also known as 10Sa RNA or SsrA, is named for its dual tRNA and mRNA-like properties. Its role is to liberate the mRNA from a stalled ribosome. The record is from RNAcentral. Lineage: Bacteria; Pseudomonadati; Campylobacterota; Epsilonproteobacteria; Campylobacterales; Campylobacteraceae.
AACGGGGACGACUUGGCUUCGACAGGAGUAGAGUGGCCUUGGUGGCAUGUCGCUUUGAGCAAAGCGUAUAAAGCUCAAAUUAAAAUUAAACGCAAACAACGUUAAAUUUGCUCCUGCUUACGCUAAAGCUGCGUAAGUUCAGUUGAGCCUGAAUUUUAAGUGAUACUAUCUAGCUUAGAAUUUGGUCAUUUUUGAUAGUGUAGAUUGAAAUUUGACAAGUUUUAAUCGAAGUUAAAGUCUUAGUCUAGCUUGAAAUUUUGGAAGGUGAGUUUGGCUAGAUGAAAUUUUCACCUUUGCUAAGCAUGUAGAUGCCGUGGUUGUUUUAUUUUUGGACAGGGGUUCAAUUCCCCUCGUCUCCACC